This 497-nucleotide ribosomal RNA is filed under the name uncultured bacterium. RNAcentral describes it as "bacterial SSU rRNA". It matches the Rfam family "Bacterial small subunit ribosomal RNA", at positions 105 to 637 of the family's 1533-position model. The record is from RNAcentral.
GGUGAGUAACGCGUGGGAAUCUGCCCUUUUGUCUGGGACAACAGCUGGAAACGGCUGCUAAUACCGGAUACGCCCCUCGGGGGAAAGGUCCGCCGCAGAAGGAGGAGCCCGCGUCUGAUUAGCUUGUUGGUAGGGUAAUGGCCUACCAAGGCAACGAUCAGUACCUGGUCUGAGAGGAUGAUCAGCCACACUGGGACUGAGACACGGCCCAGACUCCUACGGGAGGCAGCAGUGGGGAAUAUUGGACAAUGGGGGCAACCCUGAUCCAGCAAUGCCGCGUGUGUGAUGAAGGCCUUAGGGUUGUAAAGCACUUUCACUGGUGAAGAUGAUGACGGUAACCAGAGAAGAAGCCCCGGCUAACUUCGUGCCAGCAGCCGCGGUAAUACGAAGGGGGCGAGCGUUGUUCGGAAUUACUGGGCGUAAAGGGAGCGCAGGCGGUUCAUUCAGUUAGGCGUGAAAUCCCCGGGCUCAACCUGGGAACUGCGCUUAAUACUGAU